GUGAUCACUUAGGCAGCACACAUACUAUACCAGUAACACUGCAGAGAAGGUAAGCGUGGCCUUUGCACAUGGAUAACAUGUAAAUUUCUAAAGUUAUUUGUAUUUUU
Small nuclear RNA from Cynocephalus volans (Philippine flying lemur), 107 nucleotides. NCBI's taxonomy places the organism in Eukaryota, Metazoa, Chordata, Mammalia, Dermoptera, Cynocephalidae. The record is from RefSeq and is a predicted model, not a curated record.